Dipodomys spectabilis (banner-tailed kangaroo rat) is the source of this 102-nucleotide long non-coding RNA. RefSeq lists it as uncharacterized. The transcript is spliced from 2 exons. The record is from RefSeq and is a predicted model, not a curated record. NCBI's taxonomy places the organism in Eukaryota, Metazoa, Chordata, Mammalia, Rodentia, Heteromyidae.
CAGAAAACCGGAAGUGGUGCUGUGGCUCAAGCGGUGGAGCGCUCGCCUGGCUCUGGAGAGCUGAGGACAGCGCCCAGGCCCAGAGUUCAGGCCCCACGACCG